Molecule: ribosomal RNA, 2903 nt
Filed under: Escherichia coli HVH 6 (3-8296502)
Lineage: Bacteria; Pseudomonadati; Pseudomonadota; Gammaproteobacteria; Enterobacterales; Enterobacteriaceae
Description: bacterial LSU rRNA
Rfam family: Bacterial large subunit ribosomal RNA
Source: RNAcentral
UUAAGCGACUAAGCGUACACGGUGGAUGCCCUGGCAGUCAGAGGCGAUGAAGGACGUGCUAAUCUGCGAUAAGCGUCGGUAAGGUGAUAUGAACCGUUAUAACCGGCGAUUUCCGAAUGGGGAAACCCAGUGUGAUUCGUCACACUAUCAUUAACUGAAUCCAUAGGUUAAUGAGGCGAACCGGGGGAACUGAAACAUCUAAGUACCCCGAGGAAAAGAAAUCAACCGAGAUUCCCCCAGUAGCGGCGAGCGAACGGGGAGCAGCCCAGAGCCUGAAUCAGUGUGUGUGUUAGUGGAAGUGUCUGGAAAGGCGCGCGAUACAGGGUGACAGCCCCGUACACAAAAAUGCACAUACUGUGAGCUCGAUGAGUAGGGCGGGACACGUGGUAUCCUGUCUGAAUAUGGGGGGACCAUCCUCCAAGGCUAAAUACUCCUGACUGACCGAUAGUGAACCAGUACCGUGAGGGAAAGGCGAAAAGAACCCCGGCGAGGGGAGUGAAAAAGAACCUGAAACCGUGUACGUACAAGCAGUGGGAGCACGCUUCGGCGUGUGACUGCGUACCUUUUGUAUAAUGGGUCAGCGACUUAUAUUCUGUAGCAAGGUUAACCGAAUAGGGGAGCCGAAGGGAAACCGAGUCUUAACUGGGCGUUAAGUUGCAGGGUAUAGACCCGAAACCCGGUGAUCUAGCCAUGGGCAGGUUGAAGGUUGGGUAACACUAACUGGAGGACCGAACCGACUAAUGUUGAAAAAUUAGCGGAUGACUUGUGGCUGGGGGUGAAAGGCCAAUCAAACCGGGAGAUAGCUGGUUCUCCCCGAAAGCUAUUUAGGUAGCGCCUCGUGAAUUCAUCUCCGGGGGUAGAGCACUGUUUCGGCAAGGGGGUCAUCCCGACUUACCAACCCGAUGCAAACUGCGAAUACCGGAGAAUGUUAUCACGGGAGACACACGGCGGGUGCUAACGUCCGUCGUGAAGAGGGAAACAACCCAGACCGCCAGCUAAGGUCCCAAAGUCAUGGUUAAGUGGGAAACGAUGUGGGAAGGCCCAGACAGCCAGGAUGUUGGCUUAGAAGCAGCCAUCAUUUAAAGAAAGCGUAAUAGCUCACUGGUCGAGUCGGCCUGCGCGGAAGAUGUAACGGGGCUAAACCAUGCACCGAAGCUGCGGCAGCGACACUAUGUGUUGUUGGGUAGGGGAGCGUUCUGUAAGCCUGCGAAGGUGUACUGUGAGGUAUGCUGGAGGUAUCAGAAGUGCGAAUGCUGACAUAAGUAACGAUAAAGCGGGUGAAAAGCCCGCUCGCCGGAAGACCAAGGGUUCCUGUCCAACGUUAAUCGGGGCAGGGUGAGUCGACCCCUAAGGCGAGGCCGAAAGGCGUAGUCGAUGGGAAACAGGUUAAUAUUCCUGUACUUGGUGUUACUGCGAAGGGGGGACGGAGAAGGCUAUGUUGGCCGGGCGACGGUUGUCCCGGUUUAAGCGUGUAGGCUGGUUUUCCAGGCAAAUCCGGAAAAUCAAGGCUGAGGCGUGAUGACGAGGCACUACGGUGCUGAAGCAACAAAUGCCCUGCUUCCAGGAAAAGCCUCUAAGCAUCAGGUAACAUCAAAUCGUACCCCAAACCGACACAGGUGGUCAGGUAGAGAAUACCAAGGCGCUUGAGAGAACUCGGGUGAAGGAACUAGGCAAAAUGGUGCCGUAACUUCGGGAGAAGGCACGCUGAUAUGUAGGUGAAGCGACUUGCUCGUGGAGCUGAAAUCAGUCGAAGAUACCAGCUGGCUGCAACUGUUUAUUAAAAACACAGCACUGUGCAAACACGAAAGUGGACGUAUACGGUGUGACGCCUGCCCGGUGCCGGAAGGUUAAUUGAUGGGGUUAGCGGUAACGCGAAGCUCUUGAUCGAAGCCCCGGUAAACGGCGGCCGUAACUAUAACGGUCCUAAGGUAGCGAAAUUCCUUGUCGGGUAAGUUCCGACCUGCACGAAUGGCGUAAUGAUGGCCAGGCUGUCUCCACCCGAGACUCAGUGAAAUUGAACUCGCUGUGAAGAUGCAGUGUACCCGCGGCAAGACGGAAAGACCCCGUGAACCUUUACUAUAGCUUGACACUGAACAUUGAGCCUUGAUGUGUAGGAUAGGUGGGAGGCUUUGAAGUGUGGACGCCAGUCUGCAUGGAGCCGACCUUGAAAUACCACCCUUUAAUGUUUGAUGUUCUAACGUUGGCCCGUAAUCGGGGUUGCGGACAGUGUCUGGUGGGUAGUUUGACUGGGGCGGUCUCCUCCUAAAGAGUAACGGAGGAGCACGAAGGUUGGCUAAUCCUGGUCGGACAUCAGGAGGUUAGUGCAAUGGCAUAAGCCAGCUUGACUGCGAGCGUGACGGCGCGAGCAGGUGCGAAAGCAGGUCAUAGUGAUCCGGUGGUUCUGAAUGGAAGGGCCAUCGCUCAACGGAUAAAAGGUACUCCGGGGAUAACAGGCUGAUACCGCCCAAGAGUUCAUAUCGACGGCGGUGUUUGGCACCUCGAUGUCGGCUCAUCACAUCCUGGGGCUGAAGUAGGUCCCAAGGGUAUGGCUGUUCGCCAUUUAAAGUGGUACGCGAGCUGGGUUUAGAACGUCGUGAGACAGUUCGGUCCCUAUCUGCCGUGGGCGCUGGAGAACUGAGGGGGGCUGCUCCUAGUACGAGAGGACCGGAGUGGACGCAUCACUGGUGUUCGGGUUGUCAUGCCAAUGGCACUGCCCGGUAGCUAAAUGCGGAAGAGAUAAGUGCUGAAAGCAUCUAAGCACGAAACUUGCCCCGAGAUGAGUUCUCCCUGACUCUUUGAGGGUCCUGAAGGAACGUUGAAGACGACGACGUUGAUAGGCCGGGUGUGUAAGCGCAGCGAUGCGUUGAGCUAACCGGUACUAAUGAACCGUGAGGCUUAACCUU